RNAcentral lists this ribosomal RNA (403 nucleotides) under bacterium. Its description in RNAcentral is "partial 16S ribosomal RNA". It matches the Rfam family "Bacterial small subunit ribosomal RNA", at positions 355 to 776 of the family's 1533-position model. The record is from RNAcentral.
UGGGGAAUAUUGCACAAUGGGGGAAACCCUGAUGCAGCGACGCCGCGUGAACGAAGAAGGUAUUCGUAUCGUAAAGUUCUGUCCUAUGGGAAGAUAAUGACAGUACCAUAGAAGAAAGCUCCGGCUAAAUACGUGCCAGCAGCCGCGGUAAUACGUAUGGAGCGAGCGUUGUCCGGAAUUAUUGGGCGUAAAGGGUACGCAGGCAGUUUAAUAAGUCGAAUGUUAAAUAUCGGGGCUCAACCCCGUAAAGCAUUGGAAACUGAUAAACUUGAGUAGUGGAGAGGAAAGUGGAAUUCCUAGUGUAGUAGUGAAAUACGUAGGUAUUAGGAGGAAUACCAGUAGCGAAGGCGACUUUCUGGACACAAACUGACGCUGAGGUACGAAAGCGUGGGGAGCAAACAGG